This 460-nucleotide ribosomal RNA is filed under the name uncultured bacterium. Its description in RNAcentral is "partial 16S ribosomal RNA". It matches the Rfam family "Bacterial small subunit ribosomal RNA", at positions 338 to 795 of the family's 1533-position model. The record is from RNAcentral.
CCUACGGGAGGCUGCAGUGAGGAAUAUUGGUCAAUGGGCGAGAGCCUGAACCAGCCAAGUCGCGUGAAGGAUGAAGGAUCUAUGGUUUGUAAACUUCUUUUAUAUGGGAAUAAAGUGAGGAACGUGUUCCUUUUUGUAUGUACCAUAUGAAUAAGCAUCGGCUAACUCCGUGCCAGCAGCCGCGGUAAUACGGAGGAUGCGAGCGUUAUCCGGAUUUAUUGGGUUUAAAGGGUGCGUAGGUGGUUAAUUAAGUCAGCGGUGAAAGUUUGUGGCUCAACCAUAAAAUUGCCGUUGAAACUGGUUGACUUGAGUAUAUUUGAGGUAGGCGGAAUGCGUGGUGUAGCGGUGAAAUGCAUAGAUAUCACGCAGAACUCCGAUUGCGAAGGCAGCAUACCGGCGCCCGACUGACGCUGAGGCACGAAAGCGUGGGGAUCGAACAGGAUUAGAUACCCGGGUAGUC